Lathyrus oleraceus (garden pea) is the source of this 1022-nucleotide long non-coding RNA. RefSeq lists it as uncharacterized. The transcript has 2 exons. NCBI's taxonomy places the organism in Eukaryota, Viridiplantae, Streptophyta, Magnoliopsida, Fabales, Fabaceae. The record is from RefSeq and is a predicted model, not a curated record.
CAAAGCCAUGGAUGCAAGAUAAGACCAUUAAGCACGUGCGUUUAGAAUUGAAUUUGAAUAAAAGAUAAAAUGUGCACCAGAUUCAGCUCAGAUCAACAUCCUUCGUGGACCACCGUGUCGGAAGUCAUUUACGGUGGCAAUGGUAACUAGAAAUGGAAUCUCAAACCUCAUCAUGACCACCUUGGCCUCCUCAUCAAGAAACUACCCUUACUUUUCCUUGAUUCUCCCUUUAAACCUAUAAUCGAGCCGAAAUAUCCAAGAAUCCUAGAAGUUCCUACGCAAAAUACAUGGAUAAGAGCAAGAUUCAGAGCCCUAACUAUUAGGGAUUUGAAUCGCCUUGAUGCAAGCUACAACAUGAUGACCUAAAUGAAUGGAGUGGUGACGAUGAACCUACAUCCGAAGCUAGAAUUGCUCCGACGAAGUGUGAGAUCAGAGAGGAUGAAGCAGCAAUGGAAACUCACUUGAAAUCCGGUCUAGUAUUGAUGAACUGUUGUUGCUGCUAGAGGAUAAGUCAUUUUAACAUGAGCUUUCAUCCACUACAGAGCAAAAUGAUGAAUUCAUUCUUGGUGAAGGUACUAAAAAAUCAGGUUCACAUCAUCCUUGUGGACACAAUCUCAACUGGAGCCUUGAUGUCACUUGAACAUGCAGGAUUUGUUGGAGAUUGUCAUCAUCUCAUCAGCUUUCCAUGUACUGACUUUUAUGAUAGUGCAGAGUGGUGGCAUGGAUCUUUUAUGGCCUUUAACAUUCUGUCUUGGCCAAGUUUUUAGGUUUAUAACUUGCUUUGUAUCUUGGUAUAAUGGUGUAACACCCCUUGAAGAAAUCCCCUCAAUUUUGAACCUAUAUGUAUUGGAACACUUUGAUGUUAGUAAGGAUUUUGUUAGGGUGGUUGGCUUAGAAGGAACUUAGGAUGUUUCAUUAUUGGAGUGGUUUUUUGAAAUGCUUGUAAAUUGUAUGGAUGUUAGAAAAUGUAGAUGGAUUAUGUAUUGAUUCAUAAUGAUAUGAAAAAUAUUUUAACUUAUAAA